GCCCCAGUGGCGGAAUCGGUAGACGCACGAGACUCAAAAUCUCGCGUUGGCAACAACGUGCCCGUUCGAGUCGGGCCUGGGGCACCA
This 87-nucleotide transfer RNA is filed under the name Hyphomicrobiaceae bacterium. RNAcentral's name for it is "tRNA-Leu". RNAcentral also lists the same sequence under 1 other name. The record is from RNAcentral. Lineage: Bacteria; Pseudomonadati; Pseudomonadota; Alphaproteobacteria; Hyphomicrobiales; Hyphomicrobiaceae.